AGAUUAGCCAUGCAUGGUCUAAGUACAUGCCGUAUUAAGGCGAAACCGCGAAUGGCUCAUUAAAUCAGUUAUGGUUCCUUGGAUCGUACCUUACUACUUGGAUAACUGUGGCAAUUCUAGAGCUAAUACAUGCAGCAGAGCUCCGACCUUCGGGAACGAGCGCUUUUAUUAGACCAAAACCAAUCGGGCCUCGUGUCCGUUCUUUGUGGUGACUCUGUAUAACUUUGGGCUGAUCGCACGGGCUUGUCCCGGCGACGUAUCUUUCAAGUGUCUGCCUUAUCAACUGUCGAUGGUAGGUUACGCGCCUACCAUGGUCGUAACGGGUGACGGGGAAUCAGGGUUCGAUUCCGGAGAGGGAGCCUGAGAAACGGCUACCACAUCCAAGGAAGGCAGCAGGCGCGCAAAUUACCCACUCCCAGAACGGGGAGGUAGUGACGAAAAAUAACAAUACGGGACUCUUUUGAGACCCCGUAAUUGGAAUGAGUACACUCUAAAUCCUUUAACGAGGAUCCAUUGGAGAGCAAGUCUGGUGCCAGCAGUCGCGGUAAUUCCAGCUCCAAUAGCGUAUAUUAAAGUUGUUGCGGUUAAAAAGCUCGUAGUUGGAUCUCAGAUCCGGCCGGACGGUCCGCCUACCGGUGGUUACUGUUCGUUGCCGAUCGUUCAGGCGGUUAUUCUUGAUGAUCUUCACCGGUUGUCUCGGGUGACCGCCAAGUUUACUUUGAAAAAAUUAGAGUGCUCAAAGCAGGCGUGACGCCUGAAUAAUUGUGCAUGGAAUAAUGGAAUAGGACCUCGGUUCUAUUUUGUUGGUUUUCGGAACACGAGGUAAUGAUUAAGAGGGACAGACGGGGGCAUUCGUAUUGCGACGCUAGAGGGAAAUCUGUCCU
This 884-nucleotide ribosomal RNA is filed under the name Pholcus crassus. RNAcentral's name for it is "SSU rRNA". It matches the Rfam family "Eukaryotic small subunit ribosomal RNA", at positions 41 to 925 of the family's 1831-position model. The record is from RNAcentral. Lineage: Eukaryota; Metazoa; Arthropoda; Arachnida; Araneae; Pholcidae.